UACGGAGGAUGCGAGCGUUAUCCGGAUUUAUUGGGUUUAAAGGGUGCGUAGGUGGCUUUUUAAGUCAGCGGUGAAAACUGGCGGCUCAACCGCAAGAGUGCCGUUGAAACUGGGGAGCUAGAGUAUGAACGAGGUAGGCGGAAUGUGUGGUGUAGCGGUGAAAUGCAUAGAUAUCACGCAGAACUCCGAUAGCGAAGGCAGCUUACCAGGCCAUAACAGACACUGAAGCACGAAAGCGUGGGGAUCGAACAGGAUUAGAUACCCUGGUAGUCCACGCAGUAAACGAUGAUUACUAGGAGUUUGCGAUAAACAGUAAGCUCUCGAGCGAAAGCGUUAAGUAAUCCACCUGGGGAGUACGCCGGCAACGGUGAA
RNAcentral lists this ribosomal RNA (372 nucleotides) under uncultured bacterium. RNAcentral's name for it is "bacterial SSU rRNA". It matches the Rfam family "Bacterial small subunit ribosomal RNA", at positions 524 to 898 of the family's 1533-position model. The record is from RNAcentral.